AACGAACGCUGGCGGCAUGCCUAACACAUGCAAGUCGAACGAGACCUUCGGGUCUAGUGGCGCACGGGUGCGUAACGCGUGGGAACCGGCCCUUAGGUUCGGAAUAAUUCCCCGAAGGGGUGGCUAAUACCGGAUAAUUUCUUCGAACCAAGGAUUUAUCGCCUUGGGAUGGGCCCGCGUUGGAUUAGCUAGUUGGUAGGGUAAAAGCCUACCAAGGCGACGAUCCAUAGCUGGUCUGAGAGGAUGAUCAGCCACACUGGGACUGAGACACGGCCCAGACUCCUACGGGAGGCAGCAGUGGGGAAUAUUGGACAAUGGGCGAAAGCCUGAUCCAGCAAUGCCGCGUGAGUGAUGAAGGCCUUAGGGUUGUAAAGCUCUUUUACCCGGGAUGAUAAUGACAGUACCGGGAGAAUAAGCUCCGGCUAACUCCGUG
Molecule: ribosomal RNA, 433 nt
Filed under: uncultured bacterium
Lineage: Bacteria
Description: partial 16S ribosomal RNA
Rfam family: Bacterial small subunit ribosomal RNA
Source: RNAcentral